Brachypodium distachyon (stiff brome) is the source of this 1606-nucleotide RNA transcript. RefSeq lists it as uncharacterized. Lineage: Eukaryota; Viridiplantae; Streptophyta; Magnoliopsida; Poales; Poaceae. The transcript has 9 exons. The record is from RefSeq and is a predicted model, not a curated record.
CAAAUGCAGAGAGAGAAAUUCCAACGCAAACCAAACGGCACCAAUGGCCACAUGCCUCUCCCCCUCCCGCCUCCUCAUCCUCCCACCCGCCGUCGCCUUCACCACCACUCCUCUCCGGCUACGGCACCCGGAAAACAGCCUCGCCGCCUCUUACCGUAGGUGUAGGCCGCGCCUCUCUGUCGCGGCACAGGCGGCGCCGAGCGCCCCGGCGGCGGCGGGGGAGGAGAGGGACGCCUCCGGGCUGCCGCCGGCCGAGGCGCAGAGGCUAGUGGAGUUCCUGAUGGCCGACCUUCCGCACCUGUUCGAUGACGUCGGCAUCGACCGCUCCGCGUACGACGACCGCGUCCGCUUCCGCGACCCCAUCACCCGCUACGACGACAUCGACGGCUACCUCGCCAACAUCCGCCUCCUCAAGCUCGUCUUCCGUCCUGACUUCUACCUGCACGAGGCCAAGCAGACAGGGCCCUAUGCGAUUACCACGAGGUGGACCAUGGUGAUGAAGUUUUCUCUCUUGCCAUGGAAUCCGGAGCUGGUCUUCACCGGGUUAUCAAUCAUGGGCGUCAACCCCAAGAACCUCAAGUUCAACAGCCAUGUGGAUAUUUGGGAUUCAAUACAGAACAACGAGUACUUCUCCAUUGAAGGGUUACAAGAUGUUUUCAAGCAGCUACGAUAUUACAAGACCCCAGAUAUAGAAACACCUAGUUACCUGAUUCUGAAAAGGACUGCGAAUUAUGAGGUCAGGAGGUAUCCACCAUUUUCAGUUGUCGAAGCAAAAGGAGAAAAACUAACAGGAUCAUCAGGUUUUAAUAAUGUUACUGGGUAUAUAUUUGGCAAGAAUGCUUCAUCUGAAAAGAUUCCAAUGACUACACCUGUCUUCACUCAGGCUUCUGAUGACAAGCUCUCAGAUGUAUCCAUCCAGAUAGCUCUGCCAAUGAACAAAGACUUGAACAGUUUGCCAGCUCCAAAUACAGAAGCAGUUACCUUGCGAAAGGUAGAAGGAGGCGUUGCUGCCGUGAAAAAAUUCAGUGGGCGACCAGAAGAAGAAAUUGUGGUACGAAAAGAGAAGGAGCUACGCUCGCAGAUACUUAAAGAUGGGUUUAAGCCUGAACAAGGCUGUUUGCUUGCACGUUACAAUGAUCCUAGGACAAAAAGCUUUGUGAUGAGGAACGAGGUGCUUAUAUGGCUAAACGACUUCACGCUGGAGUAGUAAUACUCUGUACUCUGUACUCUACAUGUACAACAAGUUUCUGCAACAUCAGACACUGUAUGCUCGAGCUUUCAGAGAAUCCUAGAAAGGAGAAUGCGCGUUGACAUGAGCGGAUGAAAUGUGCAGAAGAUGUAAAAUUUGAAAGCUAAAAUAGGGCGACAUAGUAAAACUGUCGGUCAUAUGAUUCUAUCUGUAUGGCAGAACAGAACUGAAACGGGGAUAUUAUAGGAUGAAAAUAUUUAAGAAACUAUGUAUAUCUGGGAUUAUAUUUUUGGUGGGCUAUUAUAAUUUGGAGUAUAGGACUGGGUUAGUGUGUUUUGGGCUAAGUUUGUUCCGCAGCAACUUGAAAAUAGGAUGUGCUAGAGUCUAACCAGAAUAUAGCGUUCCGUGGUUCAUUGA